AGCAGCCGCGGUAAUUCCAGCUCCAAUAGCGUAUAUUAAAGUUGUUGCAGUUAAAAAGCUCGUAGUUGAAUUUCGGGAUCAGUACGCUGGUCGUGCCUUUGGUAUGUACUGGUGUCACUGAUUCCUCCCUUCUGAAGAACCGUUAUGCCAUUUAUUUGGUGUGGCGGGGAAUCAGGACUGUUACUUUGAAAAAUUAGAGUGUUUAAAGCAGGCUCGCGCUUGAAUACAUUAGCAUGGAAUAAUGAAAUAGGACGUUUGAUCUUAUUUUGUUGGUUUCUAGGAUCGACGUAAUGAUUAAUAGGGAUAGUUGGGGGCAUUAGUAUUCAAUUGUCAGAGGUGAAAUUCUUGGAUUUAUUGAAGACUAACUACUGCGAAAGCAUUUGCCAAGGAUGUUUUCAUUAAUCAAGAACGAAAGUUAGGGGAUCGAAGACGAUCAGAUACCGUCGUAGUCUUAACCAUAAACUAUGCCGACUAGGGAUCGGAUGAUGUUAAUUUUUAAUGACUCAUUCGGCGUCCG
Molecule: ribosomal RNA, 517 nt
Filed under: uncultured Glomus
Lineage: Eukaryota; Fungi; Glomeromycota; Glomeromycetes; Glomerales; Glomeraceae
Description: SSU rRNA
Rfam family: Eukaryotic small subunit ribosomal RNA
Source: RNAcentral